RNAcentral lists this long non-coding RNA (355 nucleotides) under Elaeis guineensis (African oil palm). RNAcentral describes it as "long non-coding RNA (EGUI_LNC000115)". Lineage: Eukaryota; Viridiplantae; Streptophyta; Magnoliopsida; Arecales; Arecaceae. The record is from RNAcentral.
GGAGUUGACGGUUCGAAGAUCUUCUCAUUUGCAUUUCGAUGAGUGGGAGACUCGGUAAAUGAGGCUCGCCCAAGUUCAGGUGCUAUGAGGAAGGCUUUUUUCGGAUUCCGGAGCGUGAAGAUAUUUACCAAUUGGACAGGCGCUCCCACCUAUUACACCGUCGCCUGAGAAAGCUGGGAGAUCAGGAGUCUGACAUUUGAGUGGGAGAUGACUGGCGCCCGGCUAACAAAAGUAUUAAUUGCUUUCUUUACCGACAAGGGAGGCAUGUUGGCUUGGAAAUGGAAGACAUGGAGGUUGCGCUCUUUUCAGAUACAUCAAAUAGCAGUUAUAAGAAGACAUUCAAGAGCAGGAAACU